Molecule: ribosomal RNA, 468 nt
Filed under: uncultured bacterium
Lineage: Bacteria
Description: partial 16S ribosomal RNA
Rfam family: Bacterial small subunit ribosomal RNA
Source: RNAcentral
GACGAACGCUGGCGGCGUGCUUAACACAUGCAAGUCGAACGGAAAGGCCCUGCUUUUGUGGGGUGCUCGAGUGGCGAACGGGUGAGUAACACGUGAGUAACCUGCCCUUGACUUUGGGAUAACUUCAGGAAACUGGGGCUAAUACCGGAUAGGAGCUCCUGCUGCAUGGUGGUGGUUGGAAAGUUUCGGCGGUUGGGGAUGGACUCGCGGCUUAUCAGCUUGUUGGUGGGGUAGUGGCUUACCAAGGCUUUGACGGGUAGCCGGCCUGAGAGGGUGACCGGCCACAUUGGGACUGAGAUACGGCCCAGACUGCUACGGGAGGCAGGAGGGGGGAAUAUAGCACAAUGGGCGGAAGCCUGAUGCAGCAACGCCGCGUGCGGGAUGACGGCCUUCGGGUUGUAAACCGCUUUCGCCUGUGACGAAGCGUGAGUGACGGUAAUGGGUAAAGAAGCACCGGCUAACUACGUG